RNAcentral lists this ribosomal RNA (501 nucleotides) under uncultured bacterium. Its description in RNAcentral is "partial 16S ribosomal RNA". It matches the Rfam family "Bacterial small subunit ribosomal RNA", at positions 30 to 523 of the family's 1533-position model. The record is from RNAcentral.
AUUGAACGCUGGCGGCAUGCCUUACACAUGCAAGUCGAACGGCAGCACGGGUGCUUGCACCUGGUGGCGAGUGGCGAACGGGUGAGUAAUACAUCGGAACGUACCUUAUCGUGGGGGAUAACGCAGCGAAAGCUGUGCUAAUACCGCAUACGCCCUGAGGGGGAAAGCGGGGGAUCGAAAGACCUCGCGCGAUUAGAGCGGCCGAUGCCUGAUUAGCUUGUUGGUGGGGUAAAAGCCCACCAAGGCGACGAUCAGUAGCUGGUCUGAGAGGACGAUCAGCCACACUGGGACUGAGACACGGCCCAGACUCCUACGGGAGGCAGCAGUGGGGAAUUUUGGACAAUGGGGGCAACCCUGAUCCAGCAAUGCCGCGUGAGUGAAGAAGGCCUUCGGGUUGUAAAGCUCUUUUGUCAGGGAAGAAACAGCAGCUCUAACACAGUCUGCGAAUGACGGUACCUGAAGAAUAAGCACCGGCUAACUACGUGCCAGCCGCCGCGGUAA